RNAcentral lists this unclassified non-coding RNA (363 nucleotides) under fungal sp. RNAcentral's name for it is "partial internal transcribed spacer region". The stretch from base 1 to 46 matches the Rfam family "Eukaryotic small subunit ribosomal RNA", at positions 1786 to 1831 of the family's 1831-position model. Lineage: Eukaryota; Fungi. The record is from RNAcentral.
AAGUCGUAACAAGGUUUCCGUAGGUGAACCUGCGGAAGGAUCAUUAACACAUCCUUUUAUAACUAUAAACAAUUUCGCACUCCCUGAGCCUGUUGGAGCGAAGUCUGCUUGAGCUAUGGUUGAUUUAUUUAGCUUGACAGAUAGCUAGCCGCUUUUGCGAGCUGGAACUUCGACUUCUUCGGGUAUACAGUCUCAACCAUGACUGGCCUUUUUUUCUUUUACUGUCUAAUCGGACUGAUUUAGAUGUGGAUUGAGCUGAGUCUUCUUUCGAGGAGGCAAAGUUCUCUGCAUCGCUCUUUAAACGGUAGUCUAACUACUAUUUAAUGAUAAACACAACUCUUAACAGCGGAUAUCUCGGUUCUC